AAAAUAUAGGGAGACACUAGGAUCAGGAAGGUGGUUUUCCCAGGGUGAGGCCCAUCCAUUGCACUUGGGAUGUGCUGACCCCUGCGAUUUCCCCAAAUGCAGGAAACUCGACUGCAUAAUUUGUGGUAAUGGGGGACUAUGUUUGCACUCUCCCCUA
Molecule: small nuclear RNA, 157 nt
Organism: Nannospalax galili (Upper Galilee mountains blind mole rat)
Lineage: Eukaryota; Metazoa; Chordata; Mammalia; Rodentia; Spalacidae
Gene: U1
Rfam family: U1 spliceosomal RNA
About the family: U1 is a small nuclear RNA (snRNA) component of the spliceosome (involved in pre-mRNA splicing).
Source: Ensembl